CACCGGUGAUGUAAUGGUCAAGUCAGACGAGUCUAAAUUGGCGAUCGGUUCGAGUUCUUCGAAGACAUCGCCGCCUAAAGCGGGGUGAUAAUGAGGCAUUUGUCUGAGGUGA
RNAcentral lists this small RNA (112 nucleotides) under Caenorhabditis briggsae. RNAcentral describes it as "sRNA CBG29658". Lineage: Eukaryota; Metazoa; Nematoda; Chromadorea; Rhabditida; Rhabditidae. The record is from RNAcentral.